CCUACGGGUGACAGCAGUGGGGAAUAUUGCACAAUGGGGGAAACCCUGAUGCAGCGACGCCGCGUGAGUGAAGAAGUAUUUCGGUAUGUAAAGCUCUAUCAGCAGGGAAGAAAAUGACGGUACCUGAUCAUGAAGCUACGGCUAACUACGUGCCAGCAGCCGCGGUAAUACGUAGGGGGCAAGCGUUAUCCGGAUUUACUGGGUGUAAAGGGAGCGUAGACGGGAUAACAAGUCUGUAGUGAAAUGCCGGGGCUCAACCCCGGAACUGCCUUGGAAACUGUGCGGCUAGAGUGCAGGAGAGGUAAGUGGAAUUCCUAGUGUAGCGGUGAAAUGCGUAGAUAUUAGGAAGAACACCAGUGGCGAAGGCGGCCUACUGGACUGCCACUGACGUUGAGGCUCGAAAGCGUGGGGAGCAAACAGGAUUAGAUACCCGGGUAGUC
RNAcentral lists this ribosomal RNA (440 nucleotides) under uncultured bacterium. Its description in RNAcentral is "partial 16S ribosomal RNA". It matches the Rfam family "Bacterial small subunit ribosomal RNA", at positions 338 to 795 of the family's 1533-position model. The record is from RNAcentral.